Molecule: transfer RNA, 74 nt
Filed under: Rhodococcus phage NiceHouse
Lineage: Duplodnaviria; Heunggongvirae; Uroviricota; Caudoviricetes
Description: tRNA-Gln
Rfam family: tRNA
About the family: Transfer RNA (tRNA) molecules are approximately 80 nucleotides in length.
Source: RNAcentral
UUCCCAGUAGUCUGUUGGCAGGCUAGCAACACUCUGAAUGUUGCCUCCGUUGGUUCGAUUCCAGCCUGGGAAGC